AGAGGAUGAAGACAUCACCUCUGAAGACACUAAAAGAAAUGUAGAGCCGCCAAAGUUGCUGGGUGUCCAUCCAUCUUCAAAUGAGAAGGUUCUUCUGAAGAAUGGACCAUAUGGAUACUAUGUUCAGCUUGGAGAAGACAAGAAAGGAUACGUUCCCAAGCGGGCUUCUCUUUCACAGGUGAAGGAUAUCACUUCUGUUACCUUGGAAGAUGCCCUGGAGUUGCUGUGUUACCCUGUAACAUUGGGAAACCAUCCAGAUGAUGACCAGCCUGUCAUUUUAAAGCUUGCAAAGUUUGGAUUUACAAUCAGACAUAGGCGAACAAUUGCUCCAGUACCCAAGAACUUGAAUCCCAAAGACAUUACCCUGGAAAAAGCUUUGAAGCUUUUGUUAAGUAAAGAUGUAAGACGAUGUGGUCGACCUAAGCGCCAGCCACAGGUGG
Molecule: non-coding RNA, 440 nt
Organism: Nicotiana tabacum (common tobacco)
Lineage: Eukaryota; Viridiplantae; Streptophyta; Magnoliopsida; Solanales; Solanaceae
Source: RefSeq, a predicted model, not a curated record